GAUGAACGCUGGCGGCGUGCUUAACACAUGCAAGUCGAACGAUGAAGCCCAGCUUGCUGGGUGGAUUAGUGGCGAACGGGUGAGUAACACGUGAGUAACCUGCCCUUGACUCUGGGAUAAGCCUGGGAAACUGGGUCUAAUACUGGAUAUGACUUCUCAUCGCAUGGUGGGGGGUGGAAAGAUUUAUUGGUCUUGGAUGGACUCGCGGCCUAUCAGCUUGUUGGUGAGGUAAUGGCUCACCAAGGCGACGACGGGUAGCCGGCCUGAGAGGGUGACCGGCCAACCAGGACGGGAGAAAGGCCCCGGCCACACACGGGGGGAAGGGGGGGGGAAAGUUGAACAAUGGGUGAAGGCGUGUUGAAGGGAGCCGCGGUGGGGGAGGACGGCUUUCGGGUGGUAAACAUUUUUCGGUAGGAAGAAGCGAGAGUGACGGUACCUGCAGAAGAAGCGCCGGCUAACUACGUG
Molecule: ribosomal RNA, 465 nt
Filed under: uncultured bacterium
Lineage: Bacteria
Description: partial 16S ribosomal RNA
Rfam family: Bacterial small subunit ribosomal RNA
Source: RNAcentral